AUGACUUUGGCUAGAGAUUUACUACCUCCGUCCUUGGAAGAGGAAAAGAAAAAACAUAAAAAGAAACGGCUAGUGCAAAGUCCACAUUCUUACUAUAUGCAUGUAAAAUGUCCAGGUUGCUACAAGAUUACCACGGUUUUCAGCCAUGCUCAGAGAGUGGUUCUUUGUGUAGGUUGUUUAACAGUGUUGUGCCAGCCUACAGGAGGAAAGGCCAGCCUCACAGAAGGGUAUUCAUUUAGAGGAAAGCAACACUAA
This 255-nucleotide long non-coding RNA is filed under the name Homo sapiens (human). RNAcentral's name for it is "non-protein coding lnc-SETD6-12:1". The record is from RNAcentral. Lineage: Eukaryota; Metazoa; Chordata; Mammalia; Primates; Hominidae.